RNAcentral lists this ribosomal RNA (253 nucleotides) under uncultured bacterium. RNAcentral's name for it is "partial 16S ribosomal RNA". It matches the Rfam family "Bacterial small subunit ribosomal RNA", at positions 524 to 776 of the family's 1533-position model. The record is from RNAcentral.
UACAGAGGUCUCAAGCGUUGUUCGGAUUUAUUGGGCGUAAAGGGCGCGUAGGCGGCUGGGUAAGUCGGGUGUGAAAUCUCAGGGCUCAACCCUGAAACUGCACUUGACACUGCUCUGCUUGAGGACUGGAGAGGAGACUGGAAUUCACGGUGUAGCAGUGAAAUGCGUAGAUAUCGUGAGGAAGACCAGUGGCGAAGGCGGGUCUCUGGACAGUUCCUGACGCUGAGGCGCGAAGGCCAGGGGAGCAAACGGG